This is a long non-coding RNA of Drosophila ananassae, 863 nucleotides long. RefSeq lists it as uncharacterized. The record is from RefSeq and is a predicted model, not a curated record. The transcript is spliced from 2 exons. NCBI's taxonomy places the organism in Eukaryota, Metazoa, Arthropoda, Insecta, Diptera, Drosophilidae.
AGAUGUAGGAAACCCGAAAAGAUACAUGUGCGGAAUUCAGAGAUCUCUCAGAUAGCUGAUGUAGCAGAAAGUGUAGUAGACUCGAACUAGACACUUUUCCAACGGCUCCGCCGGCCAGAUAAAGUUGGAUCACCGAAAUAAGUCGCGCUGGCAAAUCAAUUCUGCAAUCAUUUAAUCCCCAUUUCGAGCGUAUCUCGUAGCGUAAGGAGGGUGCCGUGCACAUUUUAUAGCUUCGAACUCGGCGGUGGAUCGAGGGCCUUGUGGAGGGCUGUGAGUGGGGAGGUGGGGGCUGGCCAUGGAAAGACGCACAUGGCAGUGGCGGGGCAAGCUUGUUGAUAAGCGGAAUUUGAAUAAAUGUGGGUUUAUUUUUUUCGUCUUUCCAGCACGCGAUAUGAACAAAGGCAGUGUUAUAUGGCGCUGGGACUUGAAGUCGUAUAUAAAUAAAAUACAUAUGUAUUUAUAGUUGUCUGACUGGAAUGCGAGAGUGUUUGACUCAACAACCCAGUUUGAAUUCGAUCCCGUGAAAAAAUAGCAUUUCGAAUCGAAUCCCGUACUGGCCACAUGUUCUGAUAUCCCCAGAAGUACAGAAGUCCCGUGAUAACGGAAUCCAUUAAAUGCCCAUUUAAAAAGAGUUAUUUUGAAUCUGGCGAGAUCUUAUCGGGUCCUCCAUAAAACCAUAAACCGUUGCUGCGGCCAGGGCUUGGGCCACUUGUCCUAUCGGUCUGCCACUUUCCUAUAAAUACAAUAUUUUUCUGGGCCAGUAAAUAUUCUUUGUUUUUGCCACAAGUAUGGCUCAUUUCUGAAAGCGAUUUGCGUUCUUUAAAAUAGGUCUAUAAAUAAAUAACGUUAGUUGUAAAUAAAAC